Molecule: transfer RNA, 50 nt
Filed under: Tetraselmis striata
Lineage: Eukaryota; Viridiplantae; Chlorophyta; Chlorodendrophyceae; Chlorodendrales; Chlorodendraceae
Description: partial tRNA
Source: RNAcentral
GCUCAGCAUGGGCCAGCAGGCGGUGGGCUACACGGUGGAGGUCCAGUCGC